CAAGUACUCCCUCCGUCCGGAAUUACAUGUCAUCAAAAUGGAUGUGUCUAGAACUAAAAUACAUCAAGAUACAUCCAUUUCAAUGACAAGUAUUUCUGGACGGAGGGAGUACAAG
Molecule: non-coding RNA, 115 nt
Organism: Triticum aestivum (bread wheat)
Lineage: Eukaryota; Viridiplantae; Streptophyta; Magnoliopsida; Poales; Poaceae
Source: Rfam